RNAcentral lists this unclassified non-coding RNA (261 nucleotides) under soil metagenome. RNAcentral describes it as "partial contains small subunit ribosomal RNA, internal transcribed spacer 1, and 5.8S ribosomal RNA". The record is from RNAcentral.
UUUCCGUAGGUGAACCUGCGGAAGGAUCAUUACUGAGUUAGGGUCUUCUAGGCCCGACCUCCAACCCUUUGCCUACCUUACCUCUUGUUGCUUCGGCUGGCCCGUCCCCCCUAGAAAUAGGGGUCGACCGCCGGAGGGUUUACACCCUCUGGCCCGCGCCCGCCGAUGGCCCUCAACCAAAACUCUUGUUCAAUCGUGAAUUGUCUGAGUACAAAAAACAAAAUAAACCAAAAACUUUCAACAACGGAUCUCUUGGUUCUG